This is a long non-coding RNA of Daphnia pulicaria, 492 nucleotides long. RefSeq lists it as uncharacterized. The record is from RefSeq and is a predicted model, not a curated record. NCBI's taxonomy places the organism in Eukaryota, Metazoa, Arthropoda, Branchiopoda, Diplostraca, Daphniidae. The transcript is spliced from 3 exons.
UCACGCCCUAAAAGUGGCCACGAAAUUUCAUUCCCGUUAGGCGCCUGUAGACAAGGCUACAAAAUGUAUGAAGGCUACUGGUUAACAGCCCAAAGAAACUUGGAAAAAAAGCCACAUUGCUCUUUGGAAUUGGACUGAUAGGCACUUGUUUUCUCUAUUAUACGUCAGAACCGUUAACUGUACGUAGAAGAAAGCCACUGAAACAAGUCGGUGAAAUCUCAGUUGAUGUUUGCAUCCCAUCGAAUGAAACGAAUAAUUCCGAUGAUAUACCGAAAACGAUCCUCUUCUGGACAACAUUUUAUGGCGCUAAUGUGUGGAGUAAAUUAAAAAUGGAUUUGAAUGAAGAAUGUCCCUCUCACAACUGUCGAUUAACCACCGAUCGGCGCCUGUUGAACGAAAGUGACGCCAUUAUCUUUCAUUUUUGGCAAGAUAAGUUGGACCGAAUACCGACUUGUCGCAGACCGGAUCAAUAUUACGUCUAUUUAAAUUUCG